UACGAGGGGGGCAAAUGUUGUUCGGAAUCACUGGGCGUAAAGGGCGCGUAGGCGGGUGUUUAAGUUAGGUGUUUAAUCCCAGGGCCCAACCCUGGUCGUGCACUUAAAACUGGACAUCUUGAAUAGGGGAGAGGUCAGUGGAAUUGGAGGUGUAGCGGUGGAAUGCGUAGAGAUCUCCAAGAACACCAGUUGCGAAGGCGGCUGACUGGACCCAUAUUGACGCUGAGGCUCGAAAGCAUGGGGAGCAAACAGG
RNAcentral lists this ribosomal RNA (253 nucleotides) under uncultured bacterium. RNAcentral describes it as "partial 16S ribosomal RNA". It matches the Rfam family "Bacterial small subunit ribosomal RNA", at positions 524 to 776 of the family's 1533-position model. The record is from RNAcentral.